GCCGCGGCGGGGCCAAUCCCGCCUCUGGGCGCACCCGGCCGCCUCUCCCGGCCCGAGGCUUUCCCCAGCCCGCCCCGCCCCUCGGGCUCCCGGGCCGCCCCCGGCCCCCAUUCGGGCCCGGCCUCGCGGCGGCGGCGGCGGCGGCGGCGGCGGCAACAGCGACUCCGCAGCUCUGCCGAGUUCUGGAUCCCGGGAGUGGGCGCGGCGCGUGACCUCACUGGUGGUUUCUUCUGCCUACCUGCCCUGAGCUUUCCAAUUUACUCCAUUCCUGUGCUCUGAGAUCCCGGCCAUCCAGCUUGUUAGAGAUGAGCAGCCUGUAUCACGCGAGCCUGAGGGUGAGAAGGGUACCAGACUUGAGGAGUGCUUUCCUUCCUGUCCCUGGUCCUCUUCAGCGCUGCAGGGCACCUGAUGGGAGCAGAAUGAAUUAAACAUCGGGAAAAGGGCCACAUGUGCUGCUGUGCCACCCUCCCUCACUUUCCACCCCUAGUUCUG
Rhinolophus ferrumequinum (greater horseshoe bat) is the source of this 492-nucleotide long non-coding RNA. RefSeq lists it as uncharacterized. The record is from RefSeq and is a predicted model, not a curated record. The transcript is spliced from 3 exons. NCBI's taxonomy places the organism in Eukaryota, Metazoa, Chordata, Mammalia, Chiroptera, Rhinolophidae.